Molecule: non-coding RNA, 73 nt
Organism: Harpegnathos saltator (Jerdon's jumping ant)
Lineage: Eukaryota; Metazoa; Arthropoda; Insecta; Hymenoptera; Formicidae
Source: Rfam
GCCCCCGUGGCUCAGGGGUUGGAACAUUGGUCUUGUAAACCAGAGGUCGGGAGUUCAAAUCUCUCUGGGGGCG